UACGGAGGAUCCGAGCGUUAUCCUGAUUUAUUGGGUUUAAAGGGUGCGCAGGUUGUUUGAUAAGUCAGUGGUGAAAGUCUGUCGCUUAACGGUAGGAUUGCCAUUGAUACUGUUGGACUUGAAUAUGGAUGAGGUAGGCGGAAUGUGUAGUGUAGCGGUGAAAUGCAUAGAUAUUACACAGAACACCGAUUGCGAAGGCAGCUUACUAAUCCAUCAUUGACGCUGAGGCACGAAAGCGUGGGGAUCAAACAGGA
This 254-nucleotide ribosomal RNA is filed under the name uncultured prokaryote. RNAcentral describes it as "partial 16S ribosomal RNA". It matches the Rfam family "Bacterial small subunit ribosomal RNA", at positions 524 to 777 of the family's 1533-position model. The record is from RNAcentral.